UCCGAAAUAGCUCAGCGGUAGAGCAGUUGGCUGUUAACCAAUUGGUCGUAGGUUCGAAUCCUACUUUCGGAGCCA
This 75-nucleotide transfer RNA is filed under the name Minisyncoccota bacterium. RNAcentral's name for it is "tRNA-Asn". It matches the Rfam family "tRNA". Rfam says of the family: Transfer RNA (tRNA) molecules are approximately 80 nucleotides in length. Their secondary structure includes four short double-helical elements and three loops (D, anti-codon, and T loops). Further hydrogen bonds mediate the characteristic L-shaped molecular structure. tRNAs have two regions of fundamental functional importance: the anti-codon, which is responsible for specific mRNA codon recognition, and the 3' end, to which the tRNAs corresponding amino acid is attached (by aminoacyl-tRNA synthetases). tRNAs cope with the degeneracy of the genetic code in two manners: having more than one tRNA (with a specific anti-codon) for a particular amino acid; and 'wobble' base-pairing, i.e. permitting non-standard base-pairing at the 3rd anti-codon position. Lineage: Bacteria; Bacillati; Minisyncoccota. The record is from RNAcentral.